Molecule: ribosomal RNA, 1462 nt
Filed under: metagenome
Description: bacterial SSU rRNA
Rfam family: Bacterial small subunit ribosomal RNA
Source: RNAcentral
AUUCUGGCUCAAAUGAACGUUGGCGGCGUGGAUUAGGCAUGCGAGUCGAACAAGCCAGCAAUGGUUAGUGGCGGAAGGGAGAGUAAUGCGUGGGAAUCUGCCCCUGGGACUGGGAUAGCUACGGGAAACUGUAGGUAAUACCAGAUAAUAUCUCUGGAUCGAAGGCGCGUACCGCCUGGGGAUGAGCCCGCGUCCUAUUAGGUAGUUGGUGAGGUAACGGCUCACCAAGCCAUAGAUGGGUAGCAGGUGUGAGAGCACGACCUGCCUCACUGGGACUGAGACACUGCCCAGACACCUACGGGUGGCUGCAGUCGAGAAUCUUCGGCAAUGAGCGCAAGCUUGACCGAGCGACGCCGCGUGCGGGAUGGAGGCCUUCGGGUUGUAAACCGCUUUUCGAGAGGAUGAAGUGUCGGAGCACAUCCGAUUUGACAUAUUCUCGGAAUAAGUACGGGCUAAGUUCGUGCCAGCAGCCGCGGUAAGACGAACCGUACGAACGUUAUUCGGAAUUACUGGGCUUAAAGGGUGCGUAGGCGGCAUCGAAAGUAGGGUGUGAAAUCCCUCGGCUUAACCGAGGAACUGCGCUCUAAACUACGAUGCUCGAGGAAGAUAGAGGACCAUGGAACUUCGGGUGGAGCGGUGAAAUGCGUUGAUAUCCGUGGGAACACCGGUGGCGAAAGCGAUGGUCUGGAUCUUUUCUGACGCUGAGGCACGAAAGCUAGGGGAGCGAACGGGAUUAGAUACCCCGGUAGUCCUAGCUGUAAACGAUGAGCACUGGGUCGGAGGGACUUCCAUAUCCUUCUGGCCGCACUGAAAAAGUUAAGUGCUCCGCCUGGGGAGUAUGGCCGCAAGGCUGAAACUCAAAGAAAUUGACGGGGGCUCACACAAGCGGUGGAGGAUGUGGCUUAAUUCGAGGCUACGCGAAGAACCUUAUCCUAGUCUUGACAUGUACGGAUUAACUUGGUGAAAGCCAGGCCACGCUCGCAAGAGUGGAACGUGCACAGGUGCUGCAUGGCUGUCGUCAGCUCGUGUCGUGAGAUGUCGGGUUAAGUCCCUUAACGAGCGAAACCCUUGUCCUUAGUUGCCAGCGAGUUAUGUCGGGGACUCUAAGGAGACUGCCGGUGUUAAACCGGAGGAAGGUGGGGAUGACGUCAAGUCCUCAUGGCCUUUAUGACUAGGGCUGCACACGUCCUACAAUGGUUGGCACAAAGGGAAGCAAGCUCGCGAGAGUAAGCAAAUCCCAAAAAUCCAACCCCAGUACGGAUUGCAGGCUGCAACUCGCCUGCAUGAAGCCGGAAUCGCUAGUAAUCGCAGGUCAGCAUACUGCGGUGAAUGUGUUCCUGAGCCUUGUACACACCGCCCGUCAAGCCACGAGAAUGGGGGACGUCCGAAGUCACUGAGCUAACCUUCGGGAAGCAGGUGCCUAAGACGGACUCCGUGAUUGGGACUAAGUCGUAACAAGGUA